Molecule: ribosomal RNA, 260 nt
Filed under: uncultured archaeon
Lineage: Archaea
Description: partial 16S ribosomal RNA
Rfam family: Archaeal small subunit ribosomal RNA
Source: RNAcentral
CAGCCGUAAACAAUGUGCGUUAGGUGUGUCGGUAACCACGCGUUACUGAUGCGCCGAAGAGAAAUCGUGAAACGCACCACCUGGGAAGUACGGUCGCAAGGCUGAAACUUAAAGGAAUUGGCGGGGGAGCACCCAACAGGUGGAGCCUGCGGUUUAAUUGGAUUCAACGCCGGACAUCUCACCGGAUAAGACAGCUGAAUGAUUGUCAAUCUGAAGGUUUUACAUGACUAGCUGAGAGGAGGUGCAUGGCGUCAGUGACU